RNAcentral lists this ribosomal RNA (478 nucleotides) under uncultured bacterium. RNAcentral describes it as "partial 16S ribosomal RNA". It matches the Rfam family "Bacterial small subunit ribosomal RNA", at positions 28 to 523 of the family's 1533-position model. The record is from RNAcentral.
GACGAACGCUGGCGGCGUGCUUAACACAUGCAAGUCGAACGGUAAGGCCCUUCGGGGUACACGAGUGGCGAACGGGUGAGUAACACGUGGGUGAUCUGCCCUGCACUUCGGGAUAGGCCUGGGAAACUGGGUCUAAUACCGGAUAGGACCACUGCCUGCAUGGGUGGUGGUGGAAAGCUUUUGCGGUGUGGGAUGGGCCCGCGGCCUAUCAGCUUGUUGGUGGGGUGAUGGCCUACCAAGGCGACGACGGGUAGCCGGCCUGAGAGGGUGACCGGCCACACGGGGACUGAGAUAGUGCCCAGACUCCUACGGGAGGCAGCAGUGGGGAAUAUUGCACAAUGGGCGCAAGCCUGAGGCAGCGACGCCGCGUGAGGGAUGACGGCCUUCGGGUUGUAAACCUCUUUCAGCACCGACGAAGCGCAAGUGACGGUAGGUGCAGAAGAAGGACCGGCCAACUACGUGCCAGCAGCCGCCGUAA